UCUCCGUUGGUGAACCAGCGGAGGGAUCAUUACUGAGUGUAAAAACUCCCAAACCCUAUGCAAACCUACCAAAGUUGCUUCGGCGGCCUAUAAUCGCCCCGGGCGCCCCCAAAGCGCCCCGGACCCAGGCGACCGCCGGAGGCCCCAAACUCCUGAAUUACAGUGGAUAUUCUGAGUGGCAUAAGCAAAUAAAUCAAAACUUUCAGCAACGGAUCUCUUGGUUCUG
Molecule: unclassified non-coding RNA, 226 nt
Filed under: root metagenome
Description: partial contains small subunit ribosomal RNA, internal transcribed spacer 1, and 5.8S ribosomal RNA
Source: RNAcentral